RNAcentral lists this unclassified non-coding RNA (331 nucleotides) under soil metagenome. RNAcentral describes it as "partial contains 5.8S ribosomal RNA, internal transcribed spacer 2, and large subunit ribosomal RNA". The stretch from base 1 to 120 matches the Rfam family "5.8S ribosomal RNA", at positions 35 to 154 of the family's 154-position model. The record is from RNAcentral.
GAUGAAGAACGCAGCGAAAUGCGAUAAGUAAUGUGAAUUGCAGAAUUCAGUGAAUCAUCGAAUCUUUGAACGCACAUUGCGCCCCCUGGUAUUCCGGGGGGCAUGCCUGUUCGAGCGUCAUUUCACCACUCAAGCCUCGCUUGGUAUUGGGCAUCGCGGUCCGCCGCGCGCCUCAAAUCGACCGGCUGGGUCUUCUGUCCCCUAAGCGUUGAGGAAACUAUUCGCUAAAGGGUGUUCGGGAGGCUACGCCGUAAAACAACCCCAUUCCUAAGGUUGACCUCGGAUCAGGUAGGGAUACCCGCUGAACUUAAGCAUAUCAAUAAGCGGAGGA